AGGAUCAUUAUCGAAAUGCCCACCACAGAGCUGUCGCUGGNNUUUGGCUGUGCACGCUUUGUCGUUCUUCAUUUCUCCAUCUACUUUGUGCACUCGCUUGCCAUGGAUAUCAUUGUCUGAGGGGUUUCCUUGGAUCCAUUAGGACUGCUUUGCAAAAUUUGUGGGCUUUCCUUGUUAUUUCCAUGUCUUUCUUCACAUACCCCCAGUUGUAACCAAUUCUGAAGGAAAUAGAUGCAUAUAAUACAACUUUCAGCAACGGAUCUCUUGGCUCUCGCAUCGAUGAAGAACGCAGCGAAAUGCGAUAAGUAAUGUGAAUUGCAGAAUUCAGUGAAUCAUCGAAUCUUUGAACGCAUCUUGCGCUCCUCGGUAUUCCAAGGAGCAUGCCUGUUUGGGUGUCAUCAAUAUCUCAACUACACCAAUUUAUGAUUGGUGUGGCUUGGAUCUGGGGGUUUAUGCAGGCUCCAGCUUUGUGGUCUGCUCCCCUGAAAUGCAUGAGUGGUCGACCCUCUGUUAGGUGUGAUAAAUUAUCUGCAUCUGAUGGAAAGGUCAUGGCUGCCGUAUCUCAUUGGAGUUGAUAAACUUGACCUCAAAUCAGGUAGGACCACCCGCUGAACUUAAGCAUAUCAAUAAGCGGAGGAAAAGAAACUAACCAGGAUUCCCUUAGUAACUGCGAGUGAAGUGGGAAGAGCUCAAAUUUGU
This 699-nucleotide ribosomal RNA is filed under the name uncultured Cortinariaceae. RNAcentral describes it as "eukaryotic LSU rRNA". The stretch from base 245 to 398 matches the Rfam family "5.8S ribosomal RNA". Lineage: Eukaryota; Fungi; Basidiomycota; Agaricomycetes; Agaricales; Cortinariaceae. The record is from RNAcentral.